CGAACGGGUGAGUAACGCGUGAGGAACCUGCCUCAAAGAGGGGGACAACAGUUGGAAACGACUGCUAAUACCGCAUAAGCCCACGGCUCGGCAUCGAGCAGAGGGAAAAGGAGCAAUCCGCUUUGAGAUGGCCUCGCGUCCGAUUAGCUAGUUGGUGAGGUAACGGCCCACCAAGGCGACGAUGGAUAGGGGUUCUGAGAGGAAGGCCCCCCACAUUGGUACUGAGACACGGACCAA
This 237-nucleotide ribosomal RNA is filed under the name uncultured bacterium. RNAcentral describes it as "partial 16S ribosomal RNA". It matches the Rfam family "Bacterial small subunit ribosomal RNA", at positions 99 to 334 of the family's 1533-position model. The record is from RNAcentral.